This is a long non-coding RNA of Ornithorhynchus anatinus (platypus), 450 nucleotides long. RefSeq lists it as uncharacterized. The transcript has 3 exons. The record is from RefSeq and is a predicted model, not a curated record. Lineage: Eukaryota; Metazoa; Chordata; Mammalia; Monotremata; Ornithorhynchidae.
CCCCAGCUGGUCCUCGUGAAGCAGUGUAAUGAGAGCAGCUGGGAAAGCAGUUGACUGUGGAGCAGGGACUUGAGUGAGUGGAAGAGAGCAGUCUCUUUGCUGACCUGCUGGAAAUGCCAGGAACAUUCCUGCAGCCCAAGGAGCUCUAAUGUGGACAAAGGGGGUUGUGAUCGUGUCUGAGUUAAAAAUGCAGGAACUGAAGCUUUGCUGAGUCAGUUUGACCAGCAAUGUAGCUGUGGAAUGGGUUCGCCCACAAGUUGAGAAAUGAGACUAAUGGCUCAAGAGCUUGGCAGACACAAGAAGACUUCACAAGCGUCAAGUGAAAUGACUAAGCGAACCACGAAGGAGGAGAAUAAGGGAAAUGUCAGGGUCCCGAAAGGAUUUCAGAACAUAUUCGGCAAUGGAGAAUUCUACCUCAAGUGACCCGUAUUGACUUCACUGCAUCUUUUA